CGGCAGAUGCGUCGUUCGUCGACGACCUCGGCGCCGACUCGCUCGACACGGUGGAGCUCGUGAUGGCGUUCGAGGAAGAGUUCGGGAUCGAGAUUCCGGACGAGGACGCCGAGAAGAUCACGCGCGUCAAAGAAGCCAUCGACUA
This 145-nucleotide unclassified non-coding RNA is filed under the name fungal sp. RNAcentral's name for it is "partial internal transcribed spacer region". Lineage: Eukaryota; Fungi. The record is from RNAcentral.